Molecule: unclassified non-coding RNA, 213 nt
Filed under: Hevea brasiliensis (rubber tree)
Lineage: Eukaryota; Viridiplantae; Streptophyta; Magnoliopsida; Malpighiales; Euphorbiaceae
Source: RNAcentral
GCUAAGCUAAUGCCUUAUGGAGGCAUUCCUCUGCCCUUUUGGGGCAAGGGAAGGCCCUUUUCUUACAUGAAGAGUGGAUUUCUCCCUCCCAGCCUCUAGGUCAGAAUAUAUAUAUAUAUAUUUUCCUUUUUUAUUUUGGUUGUAGAUCUGUUAUGCUUUAAUGAGAGGGUGUUUGUUGAAGAUUUGAGAAAUGGUAGUCGACUUGUGUGUGGG